Molecule: long non-coding RNA, 231 nt
Filed under: Capsicum annuum
Lineage: Eukaryota; Viridiplantae; Streptophyta; Magnoliopsida; Solanales; Solanaceae
Description: long non-coding RNA (CANN_LNC018566)
Source: RNAcentral
GUCAAUAGAAUUUCUUAACCAGAAUCUCUGUUUGCAAAUCAGUUUUAAAGAGUCAAAAAUUGUUUCGGAAAAAUGAUUUUCAAAGGUGACUUAGCAUAGCCAAUUUUGCCAAGUGUUGACUCUGAGUUUUGAAUAUAAACAAUCCUUUUCAAAAUAAAUUUUAUAUUUUGUCACUUAAUAGUAAAAAUACUUUCGAACCUAAAAUAAAAUCUUUUUGGUUAAAAACGGGUG